GGUCAGGUACGCAAACUGGUAAAGCGAGCACGUUCAGACCGUGUGAUUUUGUGGGUUCGACUCCCACCCUGACUA
This 75-nucleotide transfer RNA is filed under the name Pseudomonadota bacterium. RNAcentral's name for it is "tRNA-Leu". It matches the Rfam family "tRNA". Rfam says of the family: Transfer RNA (tRNA) molecules are approximately 80 nucleotides in length. Their secondary structure includes four short double-helical elements and three loops (D, anti-codon, and T loops). The record is from RNAcentral. Lineage: Bacteria; Pseudomonadati; Pseudomonadota. RNAcentral also lists the same sequence under 1 other name.